AUGCUCAAAAUUGAUCUUGCAAAAGCUUUUGAUCGUCUAGAAUGGAGCUUUAUUAUGGGUGCGCUCGUUCGUAUAAGGCUUCCUAGUCAUUUUAUUAAGUUGAUUCAUGAAUGCAUCUCUACUCCAAUUUUUUCGAUUAUCAUUAAUGGUCAAUCAUAUGCAAGGUUCAGAAGCUCUAGAGGUAUAAGAUAGGGAUGCCCUCUAUCCCCUUAUCUUUUUGUCCUUGCUAUAAAUGAACUCUCCAUCUCUUUACAGGAAGCCAUGUCCUUUAAUCAGCUAUCGGGCAUUUCCCUUGGUCCAAAUUGCCCUCCUAUCCAUUCUCUUAUGUUUGCAGACGACCUUCUUGUUUGCGGGCAAGCUACAUAUCAAGAAGCACUCCAUAUUCGUAAUAUUAUUCAAACUUUUUGCCACAAAUCAGGUCAGAUGCCUAACUGGAAUAAAUCGUCCAUUAUCUUUAGUAGAAAUGUCCAACCCAAUCUGAAGGAGGCUAUAAAAACAUUUUCCCUGUUCCUGAUAUUGAUGAAAACUCCAUCCAUUUGGGGCAUCCUUUGA
This 552-nucleotide ribosomal RNA is filed under the name Triticum aestivum (bread wheat). Its description in RNAcentral is "partial small subunit ribosomal RNA". The record is from RNAcentral. Lineage: Eukaryota; Viridiplantae; Streptophyta; Magnoliopsida; Poales; Poaceae.